CCCUUAGAUGUCCUGGGCUGCACGCGCGCUACACUGGAAGUUACGGAUUGAGAUACUACCUUUUCCGAAAUGGUCCGGGUAAUCACCUAAAAGCUUGUCAUAAUUGGAAUGGAUUAUUGUAACUAGUAAUCCUGAACGAGGAAUUCCUAGUAAGUCCCAGUCAACAGCUGGUACUGAUUACGUCCCUGCCCUUUGUACACACCGCCCGUCGCUACUACUGAUUGGACGUUUAAGCAAGAUUUUUAAACACUGACAGUGUGUAGUUCACGCUAUACUACAGUGAGAAGAAGAAGAUCGAGCUUACUUGUCUAGAGGAAGUAAAAGUCGUAACA
Molecule: ribosomal RNA, 332 nt
Filed under: uncultured eukaryote
Lineage: Eukaryota
Description: partial 18S ribosomal RNA
Rfam family: Eukaryotic small subunit ribosomal RNA
Source: RNAcentral